RNAcentral lists this small RNA (28 nucleotides) under Bombyx mori (domestic silkworm). RNAcentral's name for it is "ovarian small RNA-14919". The record is from RNAcentral. Lineage: Eukaryota; Metazoa; Arthropoda; Insecta; Lepidoptera; Bombycidae.
CUGCUGACUAAAAUCCUGAAUGUGGCGC